RNAcentral lists this unclassified non-coding RNA (328 nucleotides) under Camptobasidium sp. RNAcentral's name for it is "partial contains 5.8S ribosomal RNA, internal transcribed spacer 2, and large subunit ribosomal RNA". Lineage: Eukaryota; Fungi; Basidiomycota; Microbotryomycetes; Kriegeriales; Camptobasidiaceae. The record is from RNAcentral.
AACGCAAAUUGCGCUCGAGGCUUCGGCCGAGAGCAUGCCUGCCUCAGUGUCGGUUUUACCUUCGCUUUCCCCUUUCAGUGGGUAGAGUGGAUCUGGCCGUCUCGGUCCUAACAGACCGGGUCAGCUGAAGCGCAGAGGCUUGAGCGGGAUCCCCUUUGACGUGGGAACAACAGACCGGUAGGUGAGCCCUUCCAUCGGAAGGAUCGCAUGCCGCUGCUGGACCCCGGGACCCGCUGGACGCCCAGCAGGAGACGGCGUGUGUGGCUCAAUCGCCACCGCUGCCAAACCAUUCAACCUGAGUUCAGGCAAGGGCACCCGCUGAACUUAA